Molecule: non-coding RNA, 189 nt
Organism: Callorhinus ursinus (northern fur seal)
Lineage: Eukaryota; Metazoa; Chordata; Mammalia; Carnivora; Otariidae
Source: RefSeq, a predicted model, not a curated record
UCACCAUCCACCUGGUACUGUUUAGAUGAAGGGCCCGCCAGAGGCAGAGGGAUGGACAAAAUAACCUAUUGAAACUUCCGACCUUGAAAUUUUGUGAAAGUAAACCAGGAGUGUGAGCUUUCGACCUACUAACUAUCUCUGUGACCCCUGCUUCUUCGGCUCUAAAACAACUGUGAGAUAAGGGAGAAG